CCCUCGGGAAACUGAGGUUAAUAUCUGAUAGGAGAUUUAUACUGGAAAGAUUAAUCUUUAAAAUUCGAGCCUAAGGAUGGGGCUGCGGUGGAUUAGGUUGUUGGCGGGGUAAUAGCCCACCAAGCCUUUGAUCCAUAGGGGCUCUUAGCGGAGAAGCCCCGAGAGGGAAUCUGAGACACUAUUCCCAGCCCUACGGGGUGCAGCAGUUAGGAAUAUUCUGCAAUGCGCGUAAGCGUGACAGAUUGGGUCAGAGUGCGCUUCAAUUUGGAGUGCUUUUGCUAAAUGUAAAAAGUUUGGCGAAUAAGGACUGGGUAAGACGAGUGCCAGCCGCCGCGGUAAUACUCGCGGUCCAAGUCGCAGCCAUUUUUAUUGGGUCUAAAACAUCCGUAGCUUGCUUGGUGAGUUCCUUGUGAAAUUCUAUAUCUCAAAUAUGGAGCGUGCAGGGAGUACUGCCAAGCUAGAGACUGGAAGACGUAACGAGUACGUUUGGAGUAGCGGUAAAAUGUGUUAAUCCCGGACGGACUAACAAUAGCGAAGGCACGUUACGAGGACAGUUCUGACAGUAAGGGAUGAAGGCUAGGGGCGCAAAACGGAUUAGAUACCCGUGUAGUCCUAGCAGUAAACACUGCACACUAAACAUUAGUACCUCCUCGAGAGGUAUUGGUGCUGAAGGGAAGCCGAAGAGUGUGCUACCUGGGAAGUAUAGUCGCAGGGCCGAAACUUAAAGGAAU
This 731-nucleotide ribosomal RNA is filed under the name uncultured euryarchaeote. RNAcentral describes it as "bacterial SSU rRNA". It matches the Rfam family "Archaeal small subunit ribosomal RNA", at positions 129 to 865 of the family's 1478-position model. Lineage: Archaea; Methanobacteriati; Methanobacteriota. The record is from RNAcentral.